Molecule: ribosomal RNA, 245 nt
Filed under: uncultured bacterium
Lineage: Bacteria
Description: partial 16S ribosomal RNA
Rfam family: Bacterial small subunit ribosomal RNA
Source: RNAcentral
GACGAACCGUCCUAACGUUAUUCGGAAUCACUGGGCUUAAAGGGUGCGUAGGCGGCCUGACAAGUUGGGUGUGAAAUACCUCGGCCCAACCGAGGAAUGGCGCCCAAAACUGCCGGGCUCGAGGAAGAUAUAGGUGAGCGGAACUUAGGGUGGAGCGGUGAAAUGCGUUGAUAUCCUAAGGAACACCAGUAGCGAAAGCGGCUCACUGGGUCUUAUCUGACGCUGAGGCACGAAAGCCAGGGGAG